Molecule: ribosomal RNA, 460 nt
Filed under: uncultured bacterium
Lineage: Bacteria
Description: partial 16S ribosomal RNA
Rfam family: Bacterial small subunit ribosomal RNA
Source: RNAcentral
CCUACGGGAGGCAGCAGUGAGGAAUAUUGGUCAAUGGGCUUACGCCUGAACCAGCCAAGUCGCGUGAGGGAAGACUGCCCUAUGGGUUGUAAACCUCUUUUGUCAGGGAGCACUUUGCCCUACGUGUAGCGUUAUCGAGAGUCCCUGAAGAAAAAGCAUCGGCUAACUCCGUGCCAGCAGCCGCGGUAAUACGGAGGUUGCGAGCGUUAUCUGGCUUUAUUGGGUUUGAGGGGAGCGUAGGCGGAAUGCCAAGUCAGCGGUAAAAUAGCGGGGCUCAACCACGCUCCGCCGUUGAAACUGGCGAACUAGAGUGGGCUAGAGGUAAGCGGAAUGCGAGGUGAAGCGGUGAAAUGCAUAGAUAUCACGCAGAACACCGAAGGCGAAGGCAGCAUACCGGCGCCCAACUGACGCUGAGGGACGAAAGCGUGGGUAGCGAACAGGAUUAGAUACCCGGGUAGUC